This 72-nucleotide transfer RNA is filed under the name Microcaldota archaeon. Its description in RNAcentral is "tRNA-Ala". It matches the Rfam family "tRNA". From Rfam's summary of the family: Transfer RNA (tRNA) molecules are approximately 80 nucleotides in length. The record is from RNAcentral. Lineage: Archaea; Nanobdellati; Microcaldota.
GGGCUUGUAGUCUAACGGUAUGACGCUGUCUUCGCAUGGCAGAGACUCGGGGUUCGAUUCCCCGCAAGUCCA